CGGACGGGUGAGUAAUGUCUGGGAAACUGCCUGAUGGAGGGGGAUAACUGCUGGAAACGGUAGCUAAUACCGCAUAACGUCGCAAGACCAAAGAGGGGGACCUUCGGGCCUCUUGCCAUCGGAUGUGCCCAGAUGGGAUUAGCUAGUAGGUGGGGUAACGGCUCACCUAGGCGACGAUCCCUAGCUGGUCUGAGAGGAUGACCAGCCACACUGGAACUGAGACACGGUCCGG
RNAcentral lists this ribosomal RNA (232 nucleotides) under uncultured bacterium. RNAcentral describes it as "partial 16S ribosomal RNA". It matches the Rfam family "Bacterial small subunit ribosomal RNA", at positions 99 to 334 of the family's 1533-position model. The record is from RNAcentral.